RNAcentral lists this ribosomal RNA (253 nucleotides) under uncultured microorganism. Its description in RNAcentral is "partial 16S ribosomal RNA". It matches the Rfam family "Bacterial small subunit ribosomal RNA", at positions 524 to 776 of the family's 1533-position model. The record is from RNAcentral.
UACGUAGGGUGCGAGCGUUAAUCGGAUUUACUGGGCGUAAAGCGUGCGCAGGCGGCCCGUUAAGGCAGGUGUGAAAUCCCUGGGCUCAACCUAGGAAUUGCGCUUGUGACUGGCGGGCUCGAGUACGGUAGAGGGGGGUGGAAUUCCUGGUGUAGCAGUGAAAUGCGUAGAGAUCAGGAGGAACACCGAUGGCGAAGGCAGCCCCCUGGGCCUGUACUGACGCUCAUGCACGAAAGCGUGGGGAGCAAACAGG